UACAGAGGGUGCGAGCGUUAAUCGGAAUUACUGGGCGUAAAGGGCGCGUAGGUGGUUUUGUAAGUGCAUUGUGAAAUACCCGGGCUUAACCUGGGGAGGUCAAUGCAAACUGUGAGACUAGAGUAUGGUAGAGGGUGGCGGAAUUUCCGGUGUAGCGGUGAAAUGCGUAGAGAUCGGAAGGAACAUCAGUGGCGAAGGCGACCACCUGGACUGAUACUGACACUGAGGUGCGAAAGCGUGGGGAGCAAACGGG
This 253-nucleotide ribosomal RNA is filed under the name uncultured bacterium. RNAcentral's name for it is "partial 16S ribosomal RNA". It matches the Rfam family "Bacterial small subunit ribosomal RNA", at positions 524 to 776 of the family's 1533-position model. The record is from RNAcentral.